This 468-nucleotide ribosomal RNA is filed under the name uncultured bacterium. Its description in RNAcentral is "partial 16S ribosomal RNA". It matches the Rfam family "Bacterial small subunit ribosomal RNA", at positions 28 to 507 of the family's 1533-position model. The record is from RNAcentral.
GACGAACGCUGGCGGCGUGCUUAACACAUGCAAGUCGAACGGAAAGGCCCUGCUUUUGUGGGGUGCUCGAGUGGCGAACGGGUGAGUAACACGUGAGUAACCUGCCCUUGACUUUGGGAUAACUUCAGGAAACUGGGGCUUAUACCGGAUAGGAGCUCCUUCUGCAUGGUGGGGGUUGGAAAGUUUCGGCGGUUGGGGAUGGACUCGCGGCUUAUCAGCUUGUUGGUGGGGUAGUGGCUUACCAAGGCUUUGACGGGUAGCCGGCCUGAGGGGGUGACCGGCCACAUUGGGACGGAGAUCCGGCCCAGAUCCCUACGGGAGGCAGCAGUGGGGAAUAUUGCACAAUGGGCGGAAGCCGGAUGCAGCAACGCCGCGUGCGGGAUGACGGCCUUCGGGUUGUAAACCGCUUUCGCCUGUGACGAAGCGUGAGUGACGGUAAUGGGUAAAGAAGCACCGGCUAACUACGUG